UACGAAGGGUGCAAGCGUUACUCGGAAUUACUGGGCGUAAAGCGUGCGUAGGUGGUGAGUUAAGUCUGUCGUGAAAGCCCCGGGCUCAACCUGGGAAUGGCGAUGGAUACUGGCUCGCUAGAGUGCGGUAGAGGAGAGUGGAAUUCCACGUGUAGCAGUGAAAUGCGUAGAGAUGUGGAGGAACACCGGAGGCGGAAGGCGGGUCUGCUGGGACCGGUAACGUGACGCUGGAGGAGCGAAAAGCGU
This 246-nucleotide ribosomal RNA is filed under the name uncultured bacterium. RNAcentral's name for it is "partial 16S ribosomal RNA". It matches the Rfam family "Bacterial small subunit ribosomal RNA", at positions 524 to 762 of the family's 1533-position model. The record is from RNAcentral.